GUCAGUAGGAUUAGAAGUUGGCGUCCAUACAGACAGGCAAAGAAGGGGAAAGCAGCCGAGGUCACGAGAGAAUUCCAUGCAGCAGUUAAUGGUAAUCAAUGGUAAUAAACACAUGUUCUAGGAAAGCCUAUGUAUCAAUCCACGAGCAAUAUU
Molecule: long non-coding RNA, 153 nt
Organism: Sapajus apella (tufted capuchin)
Lineage: Eukaryota; Metazoa; Chordata; Mammalia; Primates; Cebidae
Exons: 2
Source: RefSeq, a predicted model, not a curated record